GACGAACGCUGGCGGCGUGCCUAAUACAUGCAAGUAGAACGCUGAAGAGAGGAGCUUGCUCUUCUUGGAUGAGUUGCGAACGGGUGAGUAACGCGUAGGUAACCUGCCUUGUAGCGGGGGAUAACUAUUGGAAACGAUAGCUAAUACCGCAUAACAAUGGAUGACACAUGUCAUUUAUUUGAAAGGGGCAAUUGCUCCACUACAAGAUGGACCUGCGUUGUAUUAGCUAGUAGGUGAGGUAAUGGCCCACCUAGGCGACGAUACAUAGCCGACCUGAGAGGGUGAUCGGCCACACUGGGACUGGGACACGGCCCAGACUCCUACGGGAGGCAGCAGUAGGGAAUCUUCGGCAAUGGGGGCAACCCUGACCGAGCAACGCCGCGUGAGUGAAGAAGGUUGUCGGAUCGUAAAGCUCGGUUGUAAGUCAAGAACGGGUGUGAGAGUGGAAAGUUCACACUGUGACGGUAGCUUACCAGAAAGGGACGGCUAACUACGUG
This 497-nucleotide ribosomal RNA is filed under the name uncultured bacterium. RNAcentral describes it as "partial 16S ribosomal RNA". It matches the Rfam family "Bacterial small subunit ribosomal RNA", at positions 28 to 507 of the family's 1533-position model. The record is from RNAcentral.